GAGGACUAGUAUCUAACUGGUAUCUGUGUGAGGAGAGGAGAGACUGGUGUGAGGACUGGUAUCUAACUGGUAUCUGUGUGAGAACUAGUAUCUAACUGGUAUCUGUGUGAGGAGGGGAGAGACUGGUGUGAGGACUAGUAUCUAACUGGUACCUAUGUGAGGACUGGAGAGACUGGUGUGAGGACUAGUAUCUAACUGGUAUCUGUGUGAGGACUGGUAUCUAACUGGUAUCUGUGUGAGGACUGGAGAGACUGGUGUGAGGACUGGUAUCUAACUGGUACCUGUGUGAGGACUGGUAUCUAACUGGUAUCUGUGUGAGGAGAGGAGAGACUGGUGUGAGGACUAGUAUCUAACUGGUAUCUGUGUGAGGAGAGGAGAGACUGGUGUGAGGACUAGUAUCUAACUGGUAUCUGUGUGAGGAGAGGAGAGACUGGUGUGAGGACUGGUAUCUAACUGGUAUCUGUGUGAGAACUAGUAUCUAACUGGUAUCUGUGUGAGGAGGGGAGAGACUGGUGUGAGGACUAGUAUCUAACUGGUACCUAUGUGAGGAGAGGAGAGACUGGUGUGAGGACUAGUAUCUAACUGGUAUCUGUGUGAGGACUGGUAUCUAACUGGUAACUGUGUGAGGACUAGUAUCUAACUGGUAUCUGUGUGAGGAAUAGUAUCUAACUGGUAUCUGUGUGAGGACUGGUAUCUGUGAGAGGAGAGACUGGUGUGAGGACUAGUAUCUAACUGGUAUCUGUGUGAGGACUGGUAUCUAACUGGUACCUGUGUGAGGACUAGUAUCUAACUGGUAUCUGUGUGAGGAGAGGAGAGACUGGUGUGAGGACUAGUAUCUAACUGGUAUCUGUGUGAGGAC
This is a long non-coding RNA of Oncorhynchus tshawytscha (Chinook salmon), 859 nucleotides long. NCBI's taxonomy places the organism in Eukaryota, Metazoa, Chordata, Actinopteri, Salmoniformes, Salmonidae. The record is from Ensembl.